This 57-nucleotide ribosomal RNA is filed under the name uncultured fungus. RNAcentral's name for it is "partial 28S ribosomal RNA". Lineage: Eukaryota; Fungi. The record is from RNAcentral.
UUUCCCUCAUCAAUGUAAGACUACCCGCUGAACUUAAGCAUAUCAAUAAGCGGAGGA